RNAcentral lists this small nuclear RNA (162 nucleotides) under Camelus bactrianus (Bactrian camel). RNAcentral's name for it is "U1 spliceosomal RNA". It matches the Rfam family "U1 spliceosomal RNA". From Rfam's summary of the family: U1 is a small nuclear RNA (snRNA) component of the spliceosome (involved in pre-mRNA splicing). Its 5' end forms complementary base pairs with the 5' splice junction, thus defining the 5' donor site of an intron. Lineage: Eukaryota; Metazoa; Chordata; Mammalia; Artiodactyla; Camelidae. The record is from Rfam by way of RNAcentral. RNAcentral also lists the same sequence under 1 other name.
ACACUCAGCGGGCAGGGGAGAUACCAUGAUCAUGAAGGCGGUUUCCCAGGACGAGGCUUAUCCAUUGCACUCUGGAUGUGCUGACUCCUGUGAUUUCCCCAAAUGUGGGGAACUCGACUGCAUAAUUUGUGGUAGUAUGGGGCUGCAUUCAUGCUCUCUGCU